GCGACGCCGCGUGAACGAUGAAGUCCUUCGGGAUGUAAAGUUCUGUCAGCAGGGACAAUAAUGAUGGUACCUGCAGAGGAAGGCCCGGCAAACUAUGUGCCAGCAGCCGCGGUAAUACAUAGGGGCCAAGCGUUGUCCGGAUUUACUGGGCGUAAAGGGCUCGUAGGCGGCAAUCUAAGUCGGAAUUAAAAGGCAGGGGCUUAACCCCUGUUCGGUUUCGAAACUGGAUCGCUAGAGAUUUGGAGAGGAAAGCGGAAUUAACAGUGUAGCGGUGAAAUGCGUAGAUAUUGUUAAGAACACCCGUGGCGAAGGCGGCUUUCUGGCCAAAAUCUGACGCUGAGGAGCGAAAGCGUGGGUAGCAAACAGGAUUAGAUACCCUGGUAGUCCACGCCGUAAACGAUGUACAUUAGGUAUGGGAGGUAUCGACCCCUUCUGUGCCGCAGCUAACGCGUUAAAUGUACCGCCUGGGGAGUACGGUCGCAAGAUUAAAACUCAAAGGAAUUGACGGGGGCCCGCACAAGCAGUGGAUUAUGUGGUUUAAUUCGACGAUACCCGAAGAACCUUACCAGAACUUGACAUCUGGGGAAGACUCUGGAAGCAGAGAUGUGCCCGCAAGGGAACCCCAAGACAGGUGGUGCAUGGUUGUCGUCAGCUCGUGUCGUGAGAUGUUAGGUUAAGUCCUGCAACGAGCGCAACCCUCGUGCUGUGUUACUACAUUUAGUUGAGUACUCUCAGCAGACUGCCCGUGGCAAACGGGAGGAAGGUGGGGAUGACGUCAAAUCAUCAUGCCCUUUAUGUUCUGGGCUACACACAUAAUACAAUGGUCGGUACAAAGGGAAGCCAACCCGCAAGGGGGAGCAAAUCUCAAAAAACCGGCCUCAGUUCAGAUUGUAGGCUGCAACUCGCCUGCAUGAAGAUGGAAUUGCUAGUAAACGCAGAUCAGAAUGCUGCGUUGAAUACGUUCCCGGGCCUUGUACACACCGCCCGUCACACCAUGAAAGCCGGAAAUAUCCGAAGUAAGUGAGCCAACCGCAAGGAAGCAGCUUCCUAAGAUAGAGCCGGUGAUUGGGGUGAAGUCGUAACAAGGUAGCCGUACCGGAAGGUG
RNAcentral lists this ribosomal RNA (1105 nucleotides) under uncultured cyanobacterium. RNAcentral describes it as "bacterial SSU rRNA". It matches the Rfam family "Bacterial small subunit ribosomal RNA", at positions 391 to 1514 of the family's 1533-position model. Lineage: Bacteria; Bacillati; Cyanobacteriota. The record is from RNAcentral.